AGAGUUUGAUCAUGGCUCAGAUUGAACGCUGGCGGCAGGCUUAACACAUGCAAGUCGAGCGGGGAAUGGUAGCUUGCUACCUGACCUAGCGGCGGACGGGUGAGUAAUGCUUAGGAAUCUGCCUAUUAGUGGGGGACAACAUUCCGAAAGGGAUGCUAAUACCGCAUACGUCCUACGGGAGAAAGCAGGGGAUCACUUGUGACCUUGCGCUAAUAGAUGAGCCUAAGUCGGAUUAGCUAGUUGGUGGGGUAAAGGCCUACCAAGGCGACGAUCUGUAGCGGGUCUGAGAGGAUGAUCCGCCACACUGGGACUGAGACACGGCCCAGACUCCUACGGGAGGCAGCAGUGGGGAAUAUUGGACAAUGGGGGGAACCCUGAUCCAGCCAUGCCGCGUGUGUGAAGAAGGCCUUAUGGUUGUAAAGCACUUUAAGCGAGGAGGAGGCUACUUUGGUUAAUACCCGGAGAUAGUGGACGUUACUCGCAGAAUAAGCACCGGCUAACUCUGUGCCAGCAGCCGCGGUAAUACAGAGGGUGCGAGCGUUAAUCGGAUUUACUGGGCGUAAAGCGUGCGUAGGUGGCUAAUUAAGUCAAAUGUGAAAUCCCCGAGCUUAACUUGGGAAUUGCAUUCGAUACUGGUUAGCUAGAGUAUGGGAGAGGAUGGUAGAAUUCCAGGUGUAGCGGUGAAAUGCGUAGAGAUCUGGAGGAACACCGAUGGCGAAGGCAAUCCCCUGGGCCUGUACUGACGCUCAUGCACGAAAGCGUGGGGAGCAAACAGGAUU
This 779-nucleotide ribosomal RNA is filed under the name uncultured Pseudomonadota bacterium. Its description in RNAcentral is "bacterial SSU rRNA". It matches the Rfam family "Bacterial small subunit ribosomal RNA", at positions 8 to 779 of the family's 1533-position model. Lineage: Bacteria; Pseudomonadati; Pseudomonadota. The record is from RNAcentral.